GAGCACGUAGGUGGGUUUGUAAGUCAGAUGUGAAAGCCUUCUGUUCAACGGAAGAAUUGCAUCUGAAACUGCGAGUCUUGAGUGUAGGAGGGGAGAAUGGAACUUCUGGUGGAGCGGUGAAAUGCGUAGAUAUCAGAAGGAACGCCGGCGGCGAAAGCGAUUCCCUGACCUAUUAUUGACACUCAGUGUGCGAAAGCUAGGGGCGCAAACGGGAUUAGAUACCCCGGUAGUCCUAGCCGUAAACGAUGGGCACUAAGUAGAGGGGUUUU
RNAcentral lists this ribosomal RNA (269 nucleotides) under uncultured Planctomycetales bacterium. RNAcentral's name for it is "partial 16S ribosomal RNA". It matches the Rfam family "Bacterial small subunit ribosomal RNA", at positions 565 to 832 of the family's 1533-position model. The record is from RNAcentral. Lineage: Bacteria; Pseudomonadati; Planctomycetota; Planctomycetia; Planctomycetales.